This is a long non-coding RNA of Oxyura jamaicensis (ruddy duck), 742 nucleotides long. RefSeq lists it as uncharacterized. The transcript is spliced from 3 exons. NCBI's taxonomy places the organism in Eukaryota, Metazoa, Chordata, Aves, Anseriformes, Anatidae. The record is from RefSeq and is a predicted model, not a curated record.
GAAUGGGAAUAAAUAAUGACCUUUUGCUAACAAGAAUUGACAUCUCAGCUUUCAACUUUUGCUAUAUCAUAACCACCUAAAUCAACCUCAAGUCUUGUAUAAAAAUAUUUUUGCUCUUAUAUUUUGGCACCCAGAAAAUUUAUAGUCUUUAAAAUAGUUGAAGUCCAUACCUUGGAAAUCCACAAAAUCCAACAAAAAUGAAGUGAAAGUUAAUGGAAAGUAGCCCAACACAUGAAUUGAAAUAUAUACAAGUCACCUACAGAUCUGUAAAUUUCCCUCUAUAGCCUAUUUCAGAAACUAGCCACUGGUGUUUUGACCUGUCAAACUCAAACUUUGGGAAAUGAAGUAAUCCAAAGUUAACCUUAGCUCUUCUCUUCCUUACCAGAGGUCUGCCAUAUAUAUUUGGCUUUCUAUUUUUGCUGACAAUAUAAAAGAACAUUGGAAAAGCAUUUCACUUACUCCAAACAAACACAGAAUUAUUGUUUUUUUUUUUGCCCUUUACUCACUAUAUCUUUUUACCACUCUGUCCUGUCAUAUGCUGCUUUUGGAGAUGGGCUGUCAUGGAUAUUCUCAGUGGCUUUUGCAAGCUUCAGAAGUAGAACUGAAGUGAGUUAGACUGAGCUGUAAUAUACUGUAAUUCUUUAUAUUAUGCCUUAAAGAGAGUUUAAUUUUUCUGAAUUAGUGCUCUGUAAGAGAUGCUAGUCAGAGUCUUAAAUGUACAUUAAAUAGUUUUUUUUUUUUG